RNAcentral lists this long non-coding RNA (143 nucleotides) under Sitophilus oryzae (rice weevil). RNAcentral's name for it is "uncharacterized LOC115890339". Lineage: Eukaryota; Metazoa; Arthropoda; Insecta; Coleoptera; Curculionidae. The record is from RNAcentral.
AAUGGAAGGAAUAUCAUGGCCGAGAACAAGGCAUAAUUGUAUGUCCCUUGAUGUAGGGGGGCCUGUAAAGGUAAAUAAUUCCUGGAGCCAUCUCGAGGUAUAGUACUCAAGUCGGAGCGAAUCAAUUGAUAGCACGAUGAAAA